AUUGAACGCUGGCGGCAGGCCUAACACAUGCAAGUCGAACGGUAACAGGAAGCAGCUUGCUUCUUUGCUGACGAGUGGCGGACGGGUGAGUAAUGUCUGGGACACUGCCUGAUGGAGGGGGAUAACUACUGGAAACGGUAGCUACUACCGCAUAACGUCGCAAGACCAAAGAGGUGGACCUUCGGGCCUCUUGCCAUCGGAUGUGCCCAGUUGGGAUUAGCUAGUAGGUGGGGUAACGGCUCACCUAGGCGACGAUCCCUAGCUGGUCUGAGAGGAUGACCAGCCACACUGGAACUGAGACACGGUCCAGACUCCUACGGGAGGCAGCAGUGGGGAAUAUUGCACAAUGGGCGCAAGCCUGAUGCAGCCAUGCCGCGUGUAUGAAGAAGGCCUUCGGGUUGUAAAGUACUUUCAGCGGGGAGGAAGGGAGUAAAGUUAAUACCUUUGCUCAUUGACGUUACCCGCAGAAGAAGCACCGGCUAACUCCGUG
RNAcentral lists this ribosomal RNA (490 nucleotides) under uncultured bacterium. Its description in RNAcentral is "partial 16S ribosomal RNA". It matches the Rfam family "Bacterial small subunit ribosomal RNA", at positions 30 to 507 of the family's 1533-position model. The record is from RNAcentral.